Molecule: long non-coding RNA, 374 nt
Organism: Xyrauchen texanus (razorback sucker)
Lineage: Eukaryota; Metazoa; Chordata; Actinopteri; Cypriniformes; Catostomidae
Exons: 3
Source: RefSeq, a predicted model, not a curated record
AAAAAAUGUGUCCCGCACCGACGUGGAAUGUGUGUGGAAGAAGGCCAACACUCCGAAGGGGGACGAAAUUGCAGCCAAGAGAGUGUCUGAGAUGACACCAUCCACAACACGAGCUGGCAUCAAAAGACCUGUCACCCAGGAGGACAAAGAAUGGGUUCAGGGAUCCCUGUUGCAACUUGGGUGUUUUACAGGGAUGGGGUGGAUUUUGAGUCCAGAUACGCCUCAGACUCUCCCAAUCAAGAUGUUUGAUGGGCUGGUGACCAGCCCAGGUUUUGUCCAAGCUGAGGACAAGGCUCUAUAGGUGCUGUCAAUGCUUGCUGUUAAUGAUCAGGAGAAGCAGCAGAUUGAGGAAGCAACAGUUGGCCAGGCUAAGA